Molecule: non-coding RNA, 1350 nt
Organism: Kogia breviceps (pygmy sperm whale)
Lineage: Eukaryota; Metazoa; Chordata; Mammalia; Artiodactyla; Physeteridae
Source: RefSeq, a predicted model, not a curated record
GUGAAUUAAACUGGUCAGACUUCAAAAAAAAACAUAAAAUUUCAUAUAAAAAGCUGAUUUCUUUUUUUUUUUUCUUGUUUUUUUUUUCCUCACUUGGGAAACUGAAAGUUCCAUAGUGGACUUGGACGUGACAAAAUGACAGCUUUAGAGGAGGGAUGUGCUUGUUGCUCCGCCCAGUCCCCACCACCUGGCUCUCUUCACUUGUUAUUUUCUGGCCUGACCUUGGAAACAUGUGAUUCAUGAUAUAAGGAAAGCCUUCUCCUCAAGCUAAUUAUGACUUACAGCAAUUUGGUAAAUUAUACCUUUGUAAGCAGAAUUGAAACAUUUAUCUUGCCUCUCUAUCGAAUCCCUCCAGAGAUUGGAAACAUGUAGGUUCCCAGUAGCUUUAUCAGAUAAAUUAGGAGGGACACCUCCUAACAGGUGCAGGAAUAUCAAGGUAUUUGGGGGACCGUGAAAGAUGAAAGAGGAGGAAUUCACCUAAAUCUGUAAGACAAUGUCUGUGACAAGCCGUUGGCGUGACUUUCCUAGCCCUGAGAGGCCUUUUAAAAGUUCAAUCUGAGACUCCUUAUAAAAGUUCUAGCAAAGCCAUUUCUUUAAAAAAAGAAAAGCCUAUAUGAUCAAUUAUAUUUAUAUAAAUCAUCAGGCCAAGUUUAUUGAGACUAGGGUUUACAAAUUGGUCUUAAUUUGGCUAUAUUUGGUAGAAAUAAGGGUAAUUUUAGAAAAAGUUAUGUUUCAGUGAAUAUUAAAUUCUAGUUUUGUUGAGGUCUGCAUUUACUGCCUAAGACUGACUCCUCAGAUAGUUCCUUGCUGUUAUAUUACAUUUAACUGAGUCAUUAAUAGGACACUCUUAAGUCUGUUUCUGAAGCUUAUCUCAUCUAUCUUUGGAUGAAGAUCAGAUGUCCCAAGACCUGUAACCAGGUCAUUAUGUGUACUGGAAAAAGACAUCUUUUAAAGGACCAUCUCCAACCUAGAUGGAAAGACCCUUAUCAGGUACUCUGCACUAGCUCAUGCACAGCAAAACUGAAGGGAAUUGACUCUUGGAUUAAUAUUUUCACAUAGAAAGCGCCCCUGCACCAGACUGCUCUAUAGAGAGGGCUGCUGAUGUCAAAAUCACCUUAAAACAACGGUCAAACAGAGGAGAAACUACACUCAUACCAGGAUGAGAAGACAACAUUGGAAGUAGACAGCUGACCUAAGAUGCUGCACCUGACCCGCUGCAAGACUCUUCACUUGAGGCUUUCAACCAUAUUCUCCUCUUGUCAAACAACUAAACUACACCUAUGCUUGAUGGAAAUUAAACAGCUGGUGCUCAGGAUACUACAAUUACAAAGAGAGAGAAAGAGUCAACCC